UACGUAGGGGGCAAGCGUUGUCCGGAUUUAUUGGGCGUAAAGAGCGUGUAGGCGGCCAGGUAGGUCAGCUGUGAAAACUCGAGGCUCAACCUCGAGACGCCGGUUGAAACCAUCUGGCUAGAGUCCGGAAGAGGAGAGUGGAAUUCCUGGUGUAGCGGUGAAAUGCGCAGAUAUCAGGAAGAACACCCGUGGCUAAGGCGGCUCUCUGGGACGGUACCGACGCUGAGACGCGAAAGCGUGGGGAGCGAACAGG
RNAcentral lists this ribosomal RNA (253 nucleotides) under uncultured bacterium. RNAcentral's name for it is "partial 16S ribosomal RNA". It matches the Rfam family "Bacterial small subunit ribosomal RNA", at positions 524 to 776 of the family's 1533-position model. The record is from RNAcentral.